UGGGUUUUUUAGUUACCGAAAAAUGAAGAGUCAAAUGUGGAGAGCAAGUCAAUCGUGAGAGACGUUGAAGUAUUCUAAUUUUACUAGAAUGUCCAACAAUAUCUUUAAUGAGUGAUUUAUGAGAUAAAAUGAAUUAAAACAAAUUAAUCACAUAAAUCUCAAACAAUUUAAAUAAUCAAAUAAAAAUCAGAAAAACUACACAAUAAAU
RNAcentral lists this long non-coding RNA (208 nucleotides) under Lathyrus oleraceus (garden pea). RNAcentral describes it as "Pisum sativum (pea) long non-coding RNA (PSAT_LNC035329)". Lineage: Eukaryota; Viridiplantae; Streptophyta; Magnoliopsida; Fabales; Fabaceae. The record is from RNAcentral.